RNAcentral lists this ribosomal RNA (497 nucleotides) under uncultured bacterium. RNAcentral describes it as "partial 16S ribosomal RNA". It matches the Rfam family "Bacterial small subunit ribosomal RNA", at positions 28 to 507 of the family's 1533-position model. The record is from RNAcentral.
GACGAACGCUGGCGGCGUGCCUAAUACAUGCAAGUUGAGCGCUGAAGGUUGGUCCUUGUACCAACUGGAUGAGCAGCGAACGGGUGAGUAACGCGUGGGGAAUCUGCCUUUGAGCGGGGGACAACAUUUGGAAACGAAUGCUAAUACCGCAUAAAAACUUUAAACACAAGUUUUAAGUUUGAAAGAUGCAAUUGCAUCACUCAAAGAUGAUCCCGCGUUGUAUUAGCUAGUUGGUGAGGUAAAGGCUCACCAAGGCGAUGAUACAUAGCCGACCUGAGAGGGUGAUCGGCCACAUUGGGACUGAGACACGGCCCAAACUCCUACGGGAGGCAGCAGGAGGGAAUCUUCGGCAAUGGACGAAAGUCUGACCGAGCAACGCCGCGUGAGUGAAGAAGGUUGUCGGAUCGUAAAACUCUGUUGGUAGAGAAGAACGUUGGUGAGAGUGGAAAGCUCAUCAAGUGACGGUAACUACCCAGAAAGGGACGGCUAACUACGUG